UACAGAGGCCUCAAGCGUUGUUCGGAUUCAUUGGGCGUAAAGGGUGCGUAGGUGGCAUGGUCAGUCGGAUGUGAAAUCCCGGGGCUCAACCCCGGAACUGCAUUCGAUACUGCCGCGCUAGAGUACUGGAGAGGAGAUUGGAAUUUACGGUGUAGCAGUGAAAUGCGUAGAUAUCGUAAGGAAGACCAGUGGCGAAGGCGGAUCUCUGGACAGGUUACUGACACUGAGGCACGAAGGCCAGGGGAGCAAACGGG
This 254-nucleotide ribosomal RNA is filed under the name uncultured bacterium. RNAcentral describes it as "partial 16S ribosomal RNA". It matches the Rfam family "Bacterial small subunit ribosomal RNA", at positions 524 to 776 of the family's 1533-position model. The record is from RNAcentral.